GGAUGGUGAAAGUUUUGGAGAUUAAUAAGAAUGAUGAAUAUGCAAAAACAAAAUUGUAGUUAAUGUUACCAAGCUGUGCACCUAAAAUUGGUUAAAAUGGUACAUUUGGUGACAUACAUCUUAAUGCAAUAAGCAUCAAUAAAGCUAGAGAAUUCUGAUAUGUGCAACUUUUGGCAACUUUGUAUCCUGUAGUUGGAAUAUUCUUAAAAUUACAAUUUUUAAAUUAUGAGUUUCCUUGUCUUCCUUCAACCUAUCUAUAUUUCUAUCCUAUCUUAUUUCACCCUUCCCAGUCUUUGAGCUCUCCUUCCUAAGGGAUGUGAUUGGGCUGAAGUUGCAUCUUCUUAUAACUGCUUCAGGCUGAGUAGGAUGGUGGGGGGCCACUGCCCUUGCCAAGUUAGGAAACAAAAGCCUGACUCCUACUUAUCUAAAGGAGACAAAGAAUGAUGGGUUUUCUUGUUUGAUCAAUCAUCAUCCUUUAUUACCCUAGAAAAGAAUCAAAUUAGUGAGUCAAUGAGUUUUCAAUCUCAUUUUUUAACCAAGUUAAAUAAGCAAGUAUCAAAAACUAAAAGUAGAAUAUUGGUGAACAGUGCUUCAAAAUCUCUGUUGAAUUCAGACAAAAAUCAGGCAGCAUUUUAUUUCUACAUUGUUUAAGAUGGAGUCAUAGUAUAUAUAGUUUUCUCUGUUUGUUUAAUAAGAGACCCAAUUUCCCCUUAUCUUAAUGGCAAAAAUACAGCAAGUAAAUAUAUGUAUAUUUCUAUCUGAGCAUUGGACCAUCAAAAAUUUUAGUGCCAGACUGAGAACAUGUGAUCUGUUGUCCAUUUUGUAUCCCUGAGGACAUUUUUUAAUGAUUGGCUUCUGAUAAUAUAAACAUAGUCUGGAGUAGAUAUCAGAAAGUUUAUAUCACAAAAUUAAUAAAGUUUAGGAGGUUGAAUAUUUAUAUUGUCAUUUUCAACAUCUAGGCACACCUAUUCAAGAAGCCAAAUCUUCACCUGAGAGUUAAUUUAUAGCUACAUAAAAAAUAACAUAAUGACAGCUCACUAAGACAGCUAGAAGGUGAUGUUUUGGGGGAGAGAUAGUGGGUCUGGGAAUAUUAACUUCUUGUAGUUGUAGUUUAAGAUGUUAAUAACUUCAGCUGGAAACUUUCAGUAGUGGCUGGUGCAGUGUUUGGAGCUCCUUUUUAACUAUAGCCUAGAUUUAUCUCAUUUUAUAAUGCCAC
RNAcentral lists this long non-coding RNA (1216 nucleotides) under Heterocephalus glaber (naked mole-rat). Its description in RNAcentral is "lncRNA (ENSHGLG00000049240.1)". The record is from RNAcentral. Lineage: Eukaryota; Metazoa; Chordata; Mammalia; Rodentia; Bathyergidae.